Molecule: unclassified non-coding RNA, 235 nt
Filed under: Hevea brasiliensis (rubber tree)
Lineage: Eukaryota; Viridiplantae; Streptophyta; Magnoliopsida; Malpighiales; Euphorbiaceae
Source: RNAcentral
GACUGUCACCGGAAUGCCAAUCACCGUGUGACUAGUUUGAGGAGCUUUUUGAUGAUUUGAAUCUGAUAACAUUUGACUGCCUGCCAAUGGAAAACCAGUUAACUUUAUCGCAAGAUUGACAAUUCCUUGCCCUCUUGUACCAUCUCUAGCCCGUAUCCUGUAACUCAGGUGCAUAACUGAACCCUCCGGUCGGAAUCCAAUAUCGGUGACUGGAAUCUGGCACCAACCCAAUAGA